Molecule: long non-coding RNA, 2574 nt
Filed under: Olea europaea subsp. europaea
Lineage: Eukaryota; Viridiplantae; Streptophyta; Magnoliopsida; Lamiales; Oleaceae
Source: RNAcentral
GAAAAAUCAACGUAAAACACAGUUCAUGUCAUUAUUUUCUUAGUUUCUCUCUAAACUCUCACAAUUUUAAAUUUACGUAAUUCUUUACCUGAAUUCAUAUCAUCUUCAUGGAAACCACAAUUCUCUUAAUGCAAUGCUAUAGAUUUAUAGACAAUACUAUUGAAUUCUUUUAGUAAAUUUUUUUCACCAUAUUGCAUUAGGAGUCAUUUUCCUACUUGCAAAAUGAUUCUCCUUUCCAAUAUAGUUCUUGAAGUUACCAUCUUGGUCCCUUUUCUUAAUGAAAAUGAAUUCUUUUAACUUAUUGCACUGUUUCAUUUUUAAUGCCAAAUUUGGGUCUAACCAACACGUGAUGCCAUAAAUAUAAUGCUUUGUAGAGAAGAGAAGACACGGAUUUUCCAACAAGUGGAUGGCUGUAUAGAUCAUAACAAGAUAUGGAGUGAAGGCUUAUGAUGGGCGAGGAGUCACAUUGUCCGUAGACAGUCAAGUUUCAGUACAGCAGUGGCGCUACGGGAGCACGUUGAAGUCCAUGAGUACCCACGCACUCUCAAUGGUGAGUAACAUUUUUUCCACUAAGGUUGAUGAAGGUAUGAAACCUGCUAGUUUAAUAGUUUUUCAAUGUGGAGCUUUAAAGGUACACGCCCUUCUGUUGAUGUAAAGAAAAAUGCUUCUAACGAUUGGGAGAUUCGUUAUAUUGUAUCGCAAGAUUAAAACGGCGUUUAAAUGGCUAAGGUUGCCUAUAAUAUUUAGGAAAAUUUUUCAUUUUGGAGAUGGCGAAUUUGGAACAACUAAAGAGCAUUAACUAAUCAGGUUGUUUCUACAAGACAACUUGAUCUUAAGGGCAUGCAAAGAAAAUAGGUGUACGGUGUACAUUUUGCAUUCAAGAGUGUGGACGCCAUGGCUUAUAUCAUUUGCAUGUAAAUCAGCAUUAUUCGAUUUAUAUAGCCCCAUUUGGUUUAGUUAAAAAAAUAAAUUCAAAGUUAACAAUUAAGUUAAAACAUAUAAUUUAUAGAAUUCAUAACUUCGAUUAACUUUUCAAUUACACAUUUCAUCAACUUUUAUUAAAAUUUAAUAAAAAAUUGUUUUUUUUAACGAAACUAAACAAAAGCAUAAUUAACAAGUAUUUAUCGAGUGGAGCAUGGCAUUACAAGAUAUUGGAUAACCAUGGUAUUUGAAGAUCGAUGAAGAAAGGAUAUGUAUGUCAUUUUAAUUUAUGAAAUUCAUAUUAUCUUUCACUUAUUGCUUCAAUUAAGUCUUUCAAUAUUUUACAGUUUUUAGGACUUAGAGGUAUAUUUUAAUUAAUAAUACUAUCUAGCAUAAGUGGUAAUUAGUAUCGAUUUAUGUAACAAUGAGGAUUCACUUAGACUUCUCCAAUGAAUUGGACAAGUCAUGAUGAACCCUCAUAUGUGUGUUUCACAUUCUUGUCCAUGCUAUUAAAUUUGAUAUAUAAUUGAUAAUUUAGUGAAUUUUUACUUAAUUUAGAGUAAAUAUAAUAAGGAUAACCUGUAUUUUGAGGCAUUUUGAGCAAAAAGAGGAUCUUUGAGCUAAUUGUUACGCUCUUUUGAACUUCUGCAGCCGGGAUGACUUGCUGAUUGGAUAAUCCAUUUGUGGUCUGGUUUACUGAAUUUCCGUGUAUAAAAGAUAAAUGUGUUUAAAUUAUUUUAUUUCAAGUGUUGAAAAAUUGUGUGUAUGUGACAACGGUUCUAUUGUUUUUUAUAUAGUAAUGUAUAUCAGCGCACAUUCUUAUUUGUCGUGUUUGGUUCGUUUGAAGGGGUAGCGAUACCAUCAGCCUUGUGUUGACCCCGUGUGGCGUGUUUCUUUGCCCUGGCGAACAUUCUCAGUAACGUCUCGAAUCUAGAUUCCACUAUUAUUUCAAGUGAGUUGACAUUAUCCUUGAUUUCAGCUUUGUGACUCCAAUGGCUGUGAUUGGGUCGCCUGUAUGUCAAGCAUUUGAUUCAUAAUAUCCUCUAGAACUCAGAUGAUGGGUGGCUACAAUUAACGUUCACAUGGUUCUAGGAUUAAUUGUGGCUGGGUAAUAUAUACAUAAAUGAGAAAAAUUUCAUGUAAUGUGAACCAACACACCUCUACUAUUCUUGGUUGGUCUUGUUUAAUAUUGUGGGAGCAUGGCAUAAACGAGGGAUUAAAAGAGCUUGCAUAAUUGUGGUCUUUUGCUUGGUGGAUUGGGUCAUUCAAAAGGUCAGCUCCGGCAGCAAUAGAUGAUGGAAAAGUAAUGCAUUCCCUUUCCAGUAACCCCUGAAAGUAAUGUGUCAUCUUCUCCACAUUGGUCGAGUGUAUCAUCACGACUUCAACCUGAAAGUUAGAAGCUGUGUAUUUUCAGUGACUUCGAUAUAAUCACAGCAAUAUUUUACAUAAUUUAAUAUGUACCUAAUAAUUGAUGUUUUGAAGCAAAAUAUGAUAUGAACAAGUGUCUAUAAUUAGAAUUUGUACCUCUAGCAUAUUGAACAUAUUCUUGUCAAUUGCUGUAGAAGAUACUCAUGAAUCAUUGUUGCUCCAGUAUAUAAUGCGAGGGUAGCCGCAGUUCACUCUUGAACAUAUUUUCCCAGACAAUGAUGGAAU